Molecule: non-coding RNA, 121 nt
Organism: Spirochaetes bacterium GWB1_66_5
Lineage: Bacteria; Pseudomonadati; Spirochaetota
Source: Rfam
AAACGGAAGGCGGUGCGAAGCCGCCGCGGACGCGCCACUGUAACCGGUGACGAACGCUUCAGCAGGCCACUGGGAAACCGGGAAGGCGGAGCGGGAGGAUGAACCGGAAGCCAGGAUACGU